AGAGUUUGAUCCUGGCUCAGAUUGAACGCUGGCGGCAGGCCUAACACAUGCAAGUCGAGCGGCAGCGGGAAAGUAGCUUGCUACUUUUGCCGGCGAGCGGCGGACGGGUGAGUAAUGCCUGGGGAUCUGCCCAGUCGAGGGGGAUAACAGUUGGAAACGACUGCUAAUACCGCAUACGCCCUACGGGGGAAAGGAGGGGACCUUCGGGCCUUUCGCGAUUGGAUGAACCCAGGUGGGAUUAGCUAGUUGGUGGGGUAAUGGCUCACCAAGGCGACGAUCCCUAGCUGGUCUGAGAGGAUGAUCAGCCACACUGGAACUGAGACACGGUCCAGACUCCUACGGGAGGCAGCAGUGGGGAAUAUUGCACAAUGGGGGAAACCCUGAUGCAGCCAUGCCGCGUGUGUGAAGAAGGCCUUCGGGUUGUAAAGCACUUUCAGCGAGGAGGAAAGGUUGGCGCCUAAUACGUGUCAACUGUGACGUUACUCGCAGAAGAAGCACCGGCUAACUCCGUGCCAGCAGCCGCGGUAAUGCGGAGGGUGCAAGCGUUAAUCGGAAUUACUGGGCGUAAAGCGCACGCAGGCGGUUGGAUAAGUUAGAUGUGAAAGCCCCGGGCUCAACCUGGGAAUUGCAUUUAAAACUGUCCA
RNAcentral lists this ribosomal RNA (644 nucleotides) under uncultured bacterium. Its description in RNAcentral is "bacterial SSU rRNA". It matches the Rfam family "Bacterial small subunit ribosomal RNA", at positions 8 to 639 of the family's 1533-position model. The record is from RNAcentral.